Molecule: transfer RNA, 76 nt
Filed under: Clostridium sp. N3C
Lineage: Bacteria; Bacillati; Bacillota; Clostridia; Eubacteriales; Clostridiaceae
Also listed under: 1 other name
Description: tRNA-Arg
Rfam family: tRNA
About the family: Transfer RNA (tRNA) molecules are approximately 80 nucleotides in length. Their secondary structure includes four short double-helical elements and three loops (D, anti-codon, and T loops). Further hydrogen bonds mediate the characteristic L-shaped molecular structure. tRNAs have two regions of fundamental functional importance: the anti-codon, which is responsible for specific mRNA codon recognition, and the 3' end, to which the tRNAs corresponding amino acid is attached (by aminoacyl-tRNA synthetases). tRNAs cope with the degeneracy of the genetic code in two manners: having more than one tRNA (with a specific anti-codon) for a particular amino acid; and 'wobble' base-pairing, i.e. permitting non-standard base-pairing at the 3rd anti-codon position.
Source: RNAcentral
GUGCUCGUAGCUCAGUGGAUAGAGCAGUGGUUUCCUAAACCACGUGCCGGGGGUUCGACUCCCUUCGGGCACACCA